GGUAAACAACGCGCGGAGUUAAUGUUCUUGUAGUGUGUAUGAAACUAUCGGCUUUGCGCAGUAAAACAUGCUGUAAAUAAUCAUUUUUGACAUUGAUUUAACGGGAAUUAAAUAAAUCUCUGAAGUUCAUUCCAUGCUUGGACACGCCCUCUGAAAUCACUGAAGAUGUGGAACCACAAACAUAGAUAUAUUUGAUGUGUCGACUUAGACUGCAUGUUAAUUCCGUGCCGGAAGAAUACAUCAACUUACGUUGCUUGAUAGUAUGCAAGAUAUGAAGAUGACACUGCACAUAUAGAUAUCAAUGAGGAGAAAUGCGAUGCACAAGAACAAUAUCCAGCAAGAAAGGAUUAACCAUAGAAAUAAUCUUUUUUAGUAGAUUUGCACACAUCAAUACAAAAUGUAUUUAGAGGGGGG
Molecule: long non-coding RNA, 414 nt
Organism: Dreissena polymorpha
Lineage: Eukaryota; Metazoa; Mollusca; Bivalvia; Myida; Dreissenidae
Exons: 3
Source: RefSeq, a predicted model, not a curated record